GUUUAGAUAGCUUAAUUAUUAAAGCUUAGCGUUGAAAACGUUGUUAUGAAUUUUUCUCUAAACA
RNAcentral lists this transfer RNA (64 nucleotides) under Pyrops clavatus. RNAcentral describes it as "tRNA-Phe". It matches the Rfam family "tRNA". Rfam says of the family: Transfer RNA (tRNA) molecules are approximately 80 nucleotides in length. Their secondary structure includes four short double-helical elements and three loops (D, anti-codon, and T loops). Lineage: Eukaryota; Metazoa; Arthropoda; Insecta; Hemiptera; Fulgoridae. The record is from RNAcentral.